This 423-nucleotide ribosomal RNA is filed under the name uncultured bacterium. RNAcentral's name for it is "bacterial SSU rRNA". It matches the Rfam family "Bacterial small subunit ribosomal RNA", at positions 355 to 775 of the family's 1533-position model. The record is from RNAcentral.
UAAGGAAUAUUGGUCAAUGGGCGCAAGCCUGAACCAGCCAUGCCGCGCGCAGGAAGACGGCCCUAUGGGUUGUAAACUGCUUUUGUCAGGGAAUAAACCCCCGCUCGUGAGCGGGGCUGAAGGUACCUGAAGAAUAAGCAUCGGCUAACUCCGUGCCAGCAGCCGCGGUAAUACGGAGGAUGCAAGCGUUAUCCGGAUUCAUUGGGUUUAAAGGGUGCGCAGGCGGAUUGGUAAGUCAGGGGUGAAAUCCCACAGCUCAACUGUGGAACUGCCUUUGAUACUGUCAGUCUAGAGUAUAGUUGAAGUGGGCGGAAUGUGUCAUGUAGCGGUGAAAUGCUUAGAUAUGACACAGAACACCGAUCGCGAAGGCAGCUCACUAAGCUAUAACUGACGCUCAUGCACGAAAGCGUGGGGAUCAAACAG